RNAcentral lists this non-coding RNA (373 nucleotides) under Enterococcus sp. RNAcentral's name for it is "T-box sequence". The stretch from base 1 to 236 matches the Rfam family "T-box leader". From Rfam's summary of the family: Uncharged tRNA acts as the effector for transcription antitermination of genes in the T-box leader family. Lineage: Bacteria; Bacillati; Bacillota; Bacilli; Lactobacillales; Enterococcaceae. The record is from RNAcentral.
AUAUAGACAUCGAAAAGAAGAGUAGCAAAACUUGUUGUUCAAAGAGAGUCUCUGGUUGGUGCAAAGAGAUAGCGCAGGGUUGUGAAACACAUCUUGGAGUCGUUUUUCCGAAGAAUGCGUAGGAAAGGCCGGGUAUGCCCGUUAGCGCUGCAGUCAUUGAUAGAUGACUUUCUAAGAUCAGUUUGCUGUGAAGCACUGAUAAACAAAGGUGGAACCGCGUUGAUAACGUCCUUUAGCUGUAAUGGCUAGAGGACGUUUUUUUAUAGCCAAAAUCGGGACCAAUGCAAUUGGAAGAAAAUCAUCAGACUGCUUGAGGCUUUUUCUGAGAAGGAAAGGCAAAUUGAGGUGGAACCACGUGUAGCGCGUCCUCUGG